CCUACGGGUGGCAGCAGUGGGGAAUAUUGCACAAUGGGCGAAACCCUGAUGCAGCGACGCCGCGUGAGUGAAGAAGUAAUUCGGUAUGUAAAGCUCUAUCAUCAGGGAAGAAAAUGACGGUACCUGAGGAAGAAGCCCCGGCUAACUACGUGCCAGCAGCCGCGGUAAUACGUAGGGGGCAAGCGUUAUCCGGAAUUACUGGGCGUAAAGGGAGCGUAGACGGUAGUGCAAGUCUGGAGUGAAAGGGUAGGGCUCAACCCCCGGACGGCUUUUGAAACUGUGCGGCUGGAGUGCAGGAGAGGUAAGUGGAAUUCCUAGUGUAGCGGUGAAAUGCGUAGAUAUUAGGAGGAACACCAGUGGCGAAGGCGGCUUACUGGACUGUAACUGACGCUGAGGCACGAAAGCGUGGGGAGCAAACAGGAUUAGAUACCCUUGUAGUC
RNAcentral lists this ribosomal RNA (440 nucleotides) under uncultured bacterium. RNAcentral describes it as "partial 16S ribosomal RNA". It matches the Rfam family "Bacterial small subunit ribosomal RNA", at positions 338 to 795 of the family's 1533-position model. The record is from RNAcentral.